CGAGCACGCGCGUGUGGCAUAUCAAUAAGCGGAGGAAAAGAAACUAACAAGGAUUCCCUUAGUAACGGCGAGUGAAGCGGGAAGAGCUCAAAUUUGAAAUCUUCAAGGUUCUACCUUGACGAAUUGUAGUUUAUAGAAGUGUUUUCUGUUAGUAGAGUGGCAAAAGUUCUUUGGAGUAGGACAUCAUAGAGGGUGAGAAUCCCGUAUUUGGUCAUUCCUCCUAGCUUUGUGAUACACUUUCAACGAGUCGGAUUGUUUGGGAAUGCAGUCCAAAAUGGGUGGUAAAUUUCAUCUAAAGCUAAAUAUUGGCGAGAGACCGAUAGCGAACAAGUACCGUGAGGGAAAGAUGAAAAGAACUUUGAAAAGAGAGUUAAACAGUACGUGAAAUUGUCAAAAGGGAAGCGUUUGACACCAGUGUUGUUUUUCCGAAAAUCAAUUACGAAUGUUUUAUUUUUGAGGAGUUAUGACUUCAUCGGCUUGCUCCUUUCUUUAUGAAACUUUCUUAAUGCACUUUUCGGUUAACAAGUCAACAUCAAUUUCUUUUGUUGUAAAAGGGUAUGAGGAAGGUGGCUUUCUUUUCGGAGAAAGUGUUUAUAGCCUUGUGCCUCUGCAAUCGGAGAGAUUGAGGUCUGCAGCGUAGAUCCUUCGGGGUUAGAUACGUUUGUGCUAAGUUAUAGCUUUUCAUAGACAACUUGUUGACUAUGUUUAGUCUUGUAGCUUACUCGCUGACGCUAUUUUACCUACGCUUAGGAUGUUGAUGUGAUACUGCGAGCA
Molecule: ribosomal RNA, 774 nt
Filed under: uncultured Neocallimastigales
Lineage: Eukaryota; Fungi; Neocallimastigomycota; Neocallimastigomycetes; Neocallimastigales
Description: partial large subunit ribosomal RNA
Rfam family: Eukaryotic large subunit ribosomal RNA
Source: RNAcentral